UUCAUAUUCAUCACUCAUGUUAUUGUGAGUGUGAUGCUUGCAUUUAUUGUAUGUUCAGUGAUAACAGAUUUAUUGCUCAAGCCUGUUCUGGGUAGUUCUGCUUUUGGGUCGAGUGAGUGACAGAGGGAAGAG
This is a long non-coding RNA of Myripristis murdjan (pinecone soldierfish), 132 nucleotides long. RefSeq lists it as uncharacterized. The transcript is spliced from 3 exons. Lineage: Eukaryota; Metazoa; Chordata; Actinopteri; Holocentriformes; Holocentridae. The record is from RefSeq and is a predicted model, not a curated record.